ACUGCUCAGUAACACGUGGACAACCUGCCCAAAGGUCCGGGAUAACCCCGGGAAACUGGGGAUAAUACCGGAUAAAUCACAAGUACUGGAAGGUUUUGUGGUUGAAACUUCCGGGGCCUUUGGAUGGGUCUGCGGCGGAUUAGGUUGUUGCCGGUGUAACGUACCGUCAAGCCUGUAAUCCGUACGGGUUGUGGGAGCAAGAGCCCGGAGAUGGAUUCUGAGACACGAAUCCAGGCCCUACGGGGCGCAGCAGGCGCGAAAACUCUACAAUGCAGGCAACUGCGAUAGGGGAACAUCGAGUGAUACUCAUAUUGGGUGUCUGUCCCACCGUCUAAAAAACGGUGGUUAGCAAGGGCCGGGCAAGACCGGUGCCAGCCGCCGCGGUAAUACCGGCGGCUCGAGUGGUGGCCGAUAUUAUUGAGUCUAAAGGGUCCGUAGCCGGCUUUGCAAGUCUUUUGGGAAAUCCAGCGGCUUAACCGUUGGUCGUCCGGGAGAUACUACAUUGCUUGGGACUGGGAGAGGUAGGAGGUACUCAGGGGGUAGGAGUGAAAUCCUGUAAUCCUUUGGGGACCACCGGUGGCGAAGGCGUCCUACCAGAACAGGUCCGACGGUGAGGGACGAAAGCUAGGGGCACGAACCGGAUUAGAUACCCGGGUAGUCCUAGCCGUAAACGAUGCUCGCUAGGUGUCACAACAAUCGUGAAUUGUUGUGGUGCCGUAGGGAAGCCGUGAAGCGAGCCACUUGGGAAGUACGACCGCAAGGGUUGAAACUUAAAGGAAUUGGCGGGGGAGCAC
This 794-nucleotide ribosomal RNA is filed under the name uncultured archaeon. RNAcentral describes it as "bacterial SSU rRNA". It matches the Rfam family "Archaeal small subunit ribosomal RNA", at positions 85 to 879 of the family's 1478-position model. The record is from RNAcentral.